GUUAGAUACUAAAAGAGGAGAGAACACGAGGAGACAUGGAGAGAAACAACUAGGCCAUUGUGAUAGUAAUAAUGCGACUUAAGAAACCUAGCGCUGGUUUAGCGAAGCUAGAGAGAAGAAAGGAGAUAAAAUAAUAUAAUUGAAAAUGAAAAUAAAUAUGUAAAUGUGUGGAUGAAUUUGUAGGAAAAAAGUGUGUGAUGUAUACGUAUACAACUGAUGUGUA
Non-coding RNA from Pelobates cultripes (western spadefoot toad), 223 nucleotides. The record is from the annotation of a GenBank genome assembly. Lineage: Eukaryota; Metazoa; Chordata; Amphibia; Anura; Pelobatidae.